RNAcentral lists this ribosomal RNA (492 nucleotides) under uncultured bacterium. Its description in RNAcentral is "partial 16S ribosomal RNA". It matches the Rfam family "Bacterial small subunit ribosomal RNA", at positions 29 to 507 of the family's 1533-position model. The record is from RNAcentral.
AGUGAACGCUGGCGGUAGGCCUAACACAUGCAAGUCGAACGGCAGCACAGUAAGAGCUUGCUCUUACGGGUGGCGAGUGGCGGACGGGUGAGGAAUACAUCGGAAUCUACUUUUUCGUGGGGGAUAACGUAGGGAAACUUACGCUAAUACCGCAUACGACCUACGGGUGAAAGCAGGGGAUCUUCGGACCUUGCGCGAUUGAAUGAGCCGAUGUCGGAUUAGCUAGUUGGCGGGGUAAAGGCCCACCAAGGCGACGAUCCGUAGCUGGUCUGAGAGGAUGAUCAGCGACACUGGAACUGAGCCACGGUCCAGACUCCUACGGGAGGCAGCAGUGGGGAAUAUUGGACAAUAGGCGCAAGCCUGAUCCAGCCAUACCGCGUGGGUGAAGAAGGCCUUCGGGUUGUAAAGCCCUUUUGUUGGGAAAGAAAAGCAGCAGGUUAAUACCCCGCUGUUCUGACGGUACCCAAAGAAUAAGCACCGGCUAACUUCGUG